UUUCCUGCUGCAUGGGUCCAAUUCUAUAUUUUUACCGCUAGCCCCACACCCUUGGAUCUCACAUACCUGUAUACUGUAACAGAGCGGCAGGACAAGCUCUUUAAUCAAAGGAGACAGGAUGUUCUCCCAGAAGGAUUUUGGCUUCCUCAGAGCUCCGCCCCCCUCCUAUGGCACCAGCGAUGCUCCCUGCAGCCCUUUUCCUCCGUGUUGGCGUGUUCCUGUGAGGAGCAGCAGCUCGACGUGCUUCUGUCCUAUCACCUCCCCCCAGCUCUUCGCUGACUUGACCAUGCACCACUGGAAUGGCAUUCUUCAAAGCCUUCAUCUCUUCUUUCAGCUCUGACACACACUGAAUUAGGGCCUCCAGGCGAUGCAACACCUCAACCUGAGGUCCGGGCUGACAUGGACUAUCAAUAAACAUCAUGCCAGUCGCAAGUUCAUUAUUAUGGUACAGGUAUUGUGCUGGCAUUGAAGCUCUCCGUCUCAUCUUGAAGCCCUGAUAACAUGCCACUGCCAAGCCGAUGCCAGCCACUCCAGCCAAGGCACCCAGAACCAGAACUUUGCUGUCUGAAUGGGCCAUCCUGCAGGUCAUUAGAGAAAGAAAAACUUCCAUGUCACCAUGUCUAGAAAUGUUCAGUUCAGUGCAGUUCAGUUUCAGUUUAUUUCGAACAUGCAUACGAUACUAUGUAAUGCAUCUCACCAUUCCAGUUGUUUCAUUACAGCGCGUCCAAAAAGGAGUAGGAAAAAGCAGAGCUUAUUUAAUCCUACUCCUUUUCAUACCAUAUCAAUUUUAACCAAUUUCCUUGUUCUUUGUAACAGAAAAGUGAAUAAAUAAACAAUAUACCAUAGUAAGCAUACAAAUAUUAAAUACACAAAUAAUAUUUGUCUCAACAAAAAAAAAGGGUUCAAGGUGUUCAAAAUAAUUUUUGUUCUGUGUAAUUUGUGAACACUUGUAGUUUGAACAAUCUCUUAAACUGGAUCAUACUGGUGCUUUGUUUAAUUUCUUUGGUUAAUCAAUCCAUAAUUUAAUUCCACAUACUGAAAUACGAAAGGUUUCAAGUGUUGUGCGAGCAUACAAAUGUUUUAAAUUAGAUUUUCUUCUAAGGUAUUAGUUCUCCUAUUUUGUUGAGAAGAAUUGUUAUACAUUCUUGGGUAGCAGGUUAUAGUUCACUUUGUACAUAAUUUUAGCUGUUUGCAAAUGCAUUAAAUUGUUGAGUUCCAAUAAUUGUAAUUUAAUAAAUAAAGGGUUUGUAUGUUCUCUAUA
Nerophis ophidion (straightnose pipefish) is the source of this 1261-nucleotide long non-coding RNA. RefSeq lists it as uncharacterized. NCBI's taxonomy places the organism in Eukaryota, Metazoa, Chordata, Actinopteri, Syngnathiformes, Syngnathidae. The record is from RefSeq and is a predicted model, not a curated record. The transcript is spliced from 3 exons.